Molecule: ribosomal RNA, 253 nt
Filed under: uncultured bacterium
Lineage: Bacteria
Description: partial 16S ribosomal RNA
Rfam family: Bacterial small subunit ribosomal RNA
Source: RNAcentral
UACAGAGGUCUCAAGCGUUGUUCGGAUUCAUUGGGCGUAAAGGGUGCGUAGGUGGCGCCGUAAGUCGGGGGUGAAAUUUCGGAGCUUAACUCCGAAACUGCAUUCGAUACUGCGGUGCUUGAGGACUGGAGAGGAGACUGGAAUUCAUGGUGUAGCAGUGAAAUGCGUAGAGAUCAUGAGGAAGACCAGUGGCGAAGGCGGGUCUCUGGACAGUUCCUGACACUGAGGCACGAAGGCCAGGGGAGCAAACGGG